GCUAUUUCGAUUCAGAGAUAACGUUAAACGACAGGCAUUGCCUAUACAGGUUGAGCAGUUGAUGGAAUGGAAUGAUGUUGAGCGGGUGUUCCUUUGACAUUUCAAGAAAUGUAACCUUGAGUAUACAUCUUCAUAUGUAUAUCUCACACGUUUUCCGCUGCAAAACACUUUGAUUAGGAUAACUCUAUAUUAUGAAGUUGUUACACGUGUUAUUGGGUAAACCACCUUAAUCAGUUCUCUUUUAUGUGUAUGUUUUAUAAGUAUCCAAAUGAUCAUAUAUGAUCCUAGCUUUUUAUCUAUAAGUGAUAUUUUCAUAUACUUUAAUGUUAAGUAAUUGUCCA
Molecule: long non-coding RNA, 341 nt
Organism: Salvia miltiorrhiza (redroot sage)
Lineage: Eukaryota; Viridiplantae; Streptophyta; Magnoliopsida; Lamiales; Lamiaceae
Exons: 2
Source: RefSeq, a predicted model, not a curated record